CUGGCUCAGAACGAACGCUGGCGGCGCGUCUUAAGCAUGCAAGUCGAACGGCAAGAGGUAGCAAUACCUCCUAGAGUGGCGGACUGGUGAGUAACACGUGGGUGACAUACCCUUCAGAUGGGGAUAGCUAUUAGAAAUAGUAGAUAAUACCGAAUACGAGCACAGGGGUUAGAGAUCUGUGAGGAAAGGAGCUAAGGCUCCGCUGAAGGAAUGGCCUGCGGCCCAUUAGCUAGUUGGUGAGGUAAGAGCCCACCAAGGCGAUGAUGGGUAUCCGGCCUUAGAGGGUGAACGGACACAUUGGGACUGAGAUACGGCCCAGACUCCUACGGGAGGCAGCAGCUAAGAAUAUUCCGCAAUGGGCGAAAGUCUGACGGAGCGACGCCGCGUGGAUGAAGAAGGCCGGAAGGUUGUAAAAUCCUUUUGAAACUGAAGAAUAAGCGUUGUAGGGAAUGACAGCGUGGUGACAGUAGGUUUUGAAUAAGCAACGGCUAAUUACGUGCCAGCAGCCGC
This 510-nucleotide ribosomal RNA is filed under the name uncultured bacterium. Its description in RNAcentral is "bacterial SSU rRNA". It matches the Rfam family "Bacterial small subunit ribosomal RNA", at positions 19 to 518 of the family's 1533-position model. The record is from RNAcentral.